UACGAAGGGGGCUAGCGUUGUUCGGAAUUACUGGGCGUAAAGCGCGUGUAGGCGGGUCGUUAAGUCAGGGGGGAAAUGCCAAGGCUCAACCUUGGAACUGCCUUUGAUACUGGAGAUCUUGAGUCCGGGAGAGGUGAGUGGAACUGCGAGUGUAGAGGUGAAAUUCGUAGAUAUUCGCAAGAACACCAGUGGCGAAGGCGGCUCACUGGCCCGGAACUGACGCUGAGACGCGAAAGCGUGGGGAGCAAACAGG
This 253-nucleotide ribosomal RNA is filed under the name uncultured bacterium. RNAcentral's name for it is "partial 16S ribosomal RNA". It matches the Rfam family "Bacterial small subunit ribosomal RNA", at positions 524 to 776 of the family's 1533-position model. The record is from RNAcentral.